Molecule: microRNA precursor, 66 nt
Filed under: Pteropus vampyrus (large flying fox)
Lineage: Eukaryota; Metazoa; Chordata; Mammalia; Chiroptera; Pteropodidae
Description: microRNA 302c (ENSPVAG00000026975.1)
Source: RNAcentral
CCUCUGCUCUAACGUGCGGUACUGCUACUUCAGACAAAAGUAAGUGCCUCCAUGUUUCAGUGGAAG